Molecule: ribosomal RNA, 432 nt
Filed under: uncultured soil bacterium
Lineage: Bacteria
Description: bacterial SSU rRNA
Rfam family: Bacterial small subunit ribosomal RNA
Source: RNAcentral
AGAACGAACGCUGGCGGCAUGCCUAAUACAUGCAAGUCGAACGAACUCUUCGGAGUUAGUGGCGCACGGGUGCGUAACGCGUGGGAAUCUGCCCUUGGGUUCGGAAUAACAGUUGGAAACGACUGCUAAUACCGGAUGAUGACGAAAGUCCAAAGAUUUAUCGCCCAGGGAUGAGCCCGCGUAGGAUUAGCUAGUUGGUGAGGUAAAGGCUCACCAAGGCGACGAUCUUUAGCUGGUCUGAGAGGAUGAUCAGCCACACUGGGACUGAGACACGGCCCAGACUCCUACGGGAGCAGCAGUAGGGAAUAUUGGACAAUGGGCGAAAGCCUGAUCCAGCAAUGCCGCGUGAGUGAUGAAGGCCUUAGGUUGUAAAGCUCUUUUACCGAGAUGAUAAUGACAGUAUCGGAAGAAUAACGCCCGGCUAACGUCCGU